GCCGAAGUGGUGGAAUUGGCAGACACGCACGACUCAAAAUCGUGUGAGCUGAGCUCAUGAGGGUUCGACUCCCUCCUUCGGCACCA
Molecule: transfer RNA, 86 nt
Filed under: Bacillota bacterium
Lineage: Bacteria; Bacillati; Bacillota
Description: Firmicutes bacterium (anaerobic digester metagenome) tRNA-Leu
Rfam family: tRNA
About the family: Transfer RNA (tRNA) molecules are approximately 80 nucleotides in length. Their secondary structure includes four short double-helical elements and three loops (D, anti-codon, and T loops).
Source: RNAcentral